CUUGGUCAUUUAGAGGAAGUAAAAGUCGUAACAAGGUUUCCGUAGGUGAACCUGCGGAAGGAUCAUUACAGAGUUCAUGCCCUCACGGGUAGAUCUCCCACCCUUGAAUAUUAUACCUUAGUUGCUUUGGCAGGCCGUGGAAACACCAUGGGCUCCGGCUUAUGCGUGCCCGCCAGAGAACCAAACUCUGAAUGUUAGUGAUGUCUGAGUACUAUCUAAUAGUUAAAACUUUCAACAACGGAUCUCUUGGUUCUGGCAUCGAUGAAGAACGCAGCGAAAUGCGAUAAGUAAUGUGAAUUGCAGAAUUCAGUGAAUCAUCGAAUCUUUGAACGCACAUUGCGCCCUGUGGUAUUCCGCAGGGCAUGCCUGUUCGAGCGUCAUUUAACCACUCACGCCUAGCGUGGUAUUGGGGCACGCGGUCUCCGCGGCCCUCAAAAUUAGUGGCGGCGCCGGUGGGCUCUAAGCGUAGUACAUACUCCCGCUAUAGAGUUCCCCCCGGUGGCUCGCCAGAACCCCCAAUUUUUUACAGGUUGACCUCGGAUCAGGUAGGGAUACCCGCUGAACUUAAGCAUAUCAAUAAGCGGAGGA
This 588-nucleotide ribosomal RNA is filed under the name uncultured Phialocephala. Its description in RNAcentral is "eukaryotic LSU rRNA". The stretch from base 227 to 380 matches the Rfam family "5.8S ribosomal RNA". The record is from RNAcentral. Lineage: Eukaryota; Fungi; Ascomycota; Leotiomycetes; Helotiales.